ACGAACGCUGGCGGCGUGCUUAACACAUGCAAGUCGAACGGAAAGGCCCUGCUUUUGUGGGGUGCUCGAGUGGCGAACGGGUGAGUAACACGUGAGUAACCUGCCCUUGACUUUGGGAUAACUUCAGGAAACUGGGGCUAAUACCGGAUAGGAGCUCCUGCUGCAUGGUGGGGGUUGGAAAGUUUCGGCGGUUGGGGAUGGACUCCCGGCUUAUCAGCUUGUUGGUGGGGGAGUGGCUUACCAAGGCUUUGACGGGUAGCCGGCCUGAGAGGGUGACCGGCCACAUUGGGACUGAGAUACGGCCCAGACUCCUACGGGAGGCAGCAGUGGGGAAUAUUGCACAAUGGGCUGAAGCCUGAUGCAGCAACGCCGCGUGCGGGAUGACGGCCUUCGGGUUGUAAACCGCUUUCGCCUGUGACGAAGCGUGAGUGACGGUAAUGGGUAAAGAAGCACCGGCUAACUACGUG
RNAcentral lists this ribosomal RNA (467 nucleotides) under uncultured bacterium. RNAcentral's name for it is "partial 16S ribosomal RNA". It matches the Rfam family "Bacterial small subunit ribosomal RNA", at positions 29 to 507 of the family's 1533-position model. The record is from RNAcentral.